RNAcentral lists this ribosomal RNA (483 nucleotides) under uncultured bacterium. RNAcentral's name for it is "partial 16S ribosomal RNA". It matches the Rfam family "Bacterial small subunit ribosomal RNA", at positions 28 to 507 of the family's 1533-position model. The record is from RNAcentral.
GACGAACGCUGGCGGCGUGCUUAACACAUGCAAGUCGAACGCUGAAGCUCAGCUUUUGUUGGGUGGAUGAGUGGCGAACGGGUGAGUAACACGUGAGUAACCUGCCUCCUUCUUUGGGAUAACGCCCGGAAACGGGUGCUAAUACUGGAUAUUCACUGGUCUUCGCAUGGGGGUUGGUGGAAAGGGUUUUUCUGGUGGGGGAUGGGCUCGCGGCCUAUCAGCUUGUUGGUGGGGUGAUGGCCUACCAAGGCUUUGACGGGUAGCCGGCCUGAGAGGGUGACCGGUCACAAUGAGGCUGAGACACGGCCCAGACUCCGACGGGAGGCAGCAGUGGGGAAGAUUGCACGAUGGGCGCAAGACUGAUGCAGCGACGCCGCGUGAGGGAUGGAGGCCGUCGGGUUGGGAACCUCGUGCGAAAAUGGUCAAGCCGCAACAAUGGUUGUAGUGAGGGUAGUGUGUAAAGAAGCGCCGGCUAACUACGUG